RNAcentral lists this ribosomal RNA (427 nucleotides) under uncultured bacterium. RNAcentral describes it as "partial 16S ribosomal RNA". It matches the Rfam family "Bacterial small subunit ribosomal RNA", at positions 354 to 796 of the family's 1533-position model. The record is from RNAcentral.
GUGGGGAAUAUUGGACAAUGGGCGCAAGCCUGAUCCAGCGACGCCGCGUGGAGGACGAAGGCCUUCGGGUUGUAAACUCCUUUUGGAGGGGAAGAAUAAAUUGACGGUACCCUCAGAAAAAGCCACGGCUAACUACGUGCCAGCAGCCGCGGUAAUACGUAGGUGGCGAGCGUUACUCGGAAUUGCUAGGCGUAAAGCGUAUGUAGGUGGUUAGAUAAGUCUAUGGUGAAAUUUCCUGGCUUAACUGGGAAGGGACAUAGAUACUAUCUGGCUUGAGUGUGGGAGGGGGAGACGGAAUUCCUGGUGUAGCGGUGAAAUGCGUAGAUAUCAGGAGGAACACCGAUGGCGAAAGCAGUCUCCUGGCCCAAUACUGACACUGAGGUACGAAAGCUAGGGUAGCAAACAGGAUUAGAAACCCGAGUAGUCC